UGAGGUGGGAUCCUGGGCGGGCCACGAAACCCCCCGGGCGCACCACCAGCCCGUCUCGCCCGCACCGUCGGGGAGGUGGAGCGUGAGCGCGUGCGAUAGGACCCGAAAGAUGGUGAACUAUGCCUGGGCAGGGU
This 134-nucleotide ribosomal RNA is filed under the name Monopterus albus (swamp eel). RNAcentral describes it as "partial 28S ribosomal RNA". It matches the Rfam family "Eukaryotic large subunit ribosomal RNA", at positions 727 to 847 of the family's 3401-position model. The record is from RNAcentral. Lineage: Eukaryota; Metazoa; Chordata; Actinopteri; Synbranchiformes; Synbranchidae.